GACGAAGGGGGCUAGCGUUGUUCGGAAUUACUGGGCGUAAAGCGCGUGUAGGCGGUUGUUCAAGUCAGGUGUGAAAGCCUUGAGCUCAACUCAAGAAAUGCACUUGAUACUGGAUGACUAGAGGACCGGAGGGGAUAGUGGAAUUCCCAGUGUAGUGGUGAAAUACGUAGAGAUUGGGAAGAACACCAGUGGCGAAGGCGGCUAUCUGGACGGUUUCUGACGCUAAGACGCGAAAGCGUGGGGAGCAAACAGG
RNAcentral lists this ribosomal RNA (253 nucleotides) under uncultured bacterium. RNAcentral describes it as "partial 16S ribosomal RNA". It matches the Rfam family "Bacterial small subunit ribosomal RNA", at positions 524 to 776 of the family's 1533-position model. The record is from RNAcentral.